UACGUAGGGUGCAAGCGUUACUCGGAAUUACUGGGCGUAAAGCGUGCGCAGGCGGUUAUGCAAGACAGAUGUGAAAUCCCCGGGCUCAACCUGGGAACUGCAUUUGUGACUGCAUGGCUAGAGUGCGGCAGAGGGGGAUGGAAUUCCGCGUGUAGCAGUGAAAUGCGUAGAUAUGCGGAGGAACACCGAUGGCGAAGGCAAUCCCCUGGGCCUGCACUGACGCUCAUGCACGAAAGCGUGGGGAGCAAACAGG
This 253-nucleotide ribosomal RNA is filed under the name uncultured bacterium. Its description in RNAcentral is "partial 16S ribosomal RNA". It matches the Rfam family "Bacterial small subunit ribosomal RNA", at positions 524 to 776 of the family's 1533-position model. The record is from RNAcentral.